Orcinus orca (killer whale) is the source of this 5681-nucleotide long non-coding RNA. RefSeq lists it as uncharacterized. The record is from RefSeq and is a predicted model, not a curated record. NCBI's taxonomy places the organism in Eukaryota, Metazoa, Chordata, Mammalia, Artiodactyla, Delphinidae. The transcript is spliced from 3 exons.
UUUCAUCUUGACAAUUUGCACAUCUGGGAGACUAUCAAGAAAUGCUUUGAGGUCGAUGCCAUUCAGCACAAUCUGAUUGUCAUAAAUGUGCCCAUUGGACUUAAAAUCGAUGACUGCUUUCUUCUUCAGCUGCAUGCAGUGUCUCUCAGCUGCCUCAAAAUCUCCUGCCUGAUAUUCUUGAUGUGCCAACUCAGCUAACCCUUGGAAGGAAAGCAUACGUUUCAUUGGUUCUGUGCUGUCGGCCACGUUGCCCACAGAAGACGCCAUCUGGAGCUUCUGGAGAGAGUGAGAAAAGGGGGUAAUUGAGUCCCGCUGCCGCCACUACUGGCAAGAAUGUUUCUAGAGAUACUGGCACCAAACUUUCAAACAAUAAGAAACUUCCCAUAAGUCCCUUGCCAGGCAAGAUUAAGGUAUAACAAUCCAAACAGAUUUUUGAAGAAGACAACUGGUUGAAAGCACAGGAAAAGAGCUGGGUUUCUCUUUUUCAACAGUCACAUAAUGAGUAAUGUGGGAAUUGGUUUACAAAGUCUCUCUCCAUGAGGGGCUAAGGUUAAGAUUAGAACUUCUGAGGCCAGAAGAGCAAAAUAACUACAACAACCCACAUAUUUUCAAGAGCCGCACUUUGGAUGUGAGGGACUGAUUUUUCCCACUCUGUUUUCAGCAACCCAACUGGUGUCUUUAUUAAAUGACAUAAGAGAAUACAGUGUGGCCAAGAAGGCUUAGAUUUCCUUAGCCCCAAGUCAGAUAUUCUCAAGUGACUGUCCACUUAAAUUAAAAAGAGAGAUUUACAAGAGGAAACUGGAUACAACUGAGUGUACUUUUAUUUCAACCCUUUACCUGAAUGUUUUGUUUUGUUUUCAGUUCUCCACUGAAGUUGCCUACAUUAAUAUAUUUUUAAGAACAUUUCCUUAAGUUGAAGUAUUCAUUCAGUAUAUUCAUUUACUAUAAUUGAGAAAAGCCAAAUGACUUAGGCAAAUUCAUUUCUAUAUUGCCACAGCAGUGUAUUGUGAACUAAAUGACACCUGGCAGUUCUUUACUCAGAUACUAACUCAAUUAGAAGGCAGAACAAGGAUACUUACCCAUUCAGGGAAGGAAAGGUCACUUAGCCUCUGUAGCUGUCUUAGGUCUCUUAUCAUCACAGUAACAAAUUGAAGACUAAAAACCAUACGAUCAUCUCAAUAGAUGCAGAAAAAGCUUUUGAAAAAAUUCAAUAUCCAUUCAUGGUAAAAACUCUCCAGGAAGUGGGCAUAGAGGGAACAUACCUCGACAUAAUAAAGGCCAUAUAUGACAAGCCCAUAGCUAACAUACUCAAUGGUGAAAAGCUGAAAGCAUUUCCCCUAAGAUCAGGAACAAGACAAGGAUGCCCACUCUCACCACUUUUAUUGAACAGAGUUUUGGAAUUCCUAGCCACAGCAAUCAGACAAGAAAAAAUAAAUAAAUAAAAGGACUCCAAAAUGGAAAGGGAAAAGUAAAACUGUCACUGUUUGCAGAUGGCAUGAUACAUAGAAAAUCUGAAAGACACCAUCAAAAAACUAUUCGAGCUCAAACAUGAACUUGGUAAAUUUGCAGGAUACAAUAGAUUUCUAUAUAUAAAUUUUGUAUUUCUAUACACUAACAGUGAACUAUCAGAAAGAGAAAUUAAGGAAACAAUCCCAUUUACAAUCGCAUAAAAAAGAAUAAAAUACAUAAGAAUAAACCUGCCUAAGGAGGUAAAAGACCUGUACCCAGGAAACUAUAUGACACUCAUAAAAGAAAUGAAAGAUGACACAAACAGCUGGAAAGAUAUACCACGGUCACGGAUUGGAAGAAUUAAUAUUGUUAAAAUGACCAUCAUACCCAAGGAAAUCUACGGAUUCAUUGCAGUCUGUAUCAACAUAUCAAGGGCAUUUUCCACAGACCUAGAACAAAUAAUUUUAAAGUUUGUAUGGAAACACAAAAGAUCCUGAAUAGCUAAAACAGUCUUGAGAAAGAAGAACACAACUGGAGGAAUCAUGCUCCCUGGCUUCAGACUGUGCUACAAACCUACAGUAAUCAAAACAGUAUGGUACCGGCACAAAAACAUCCAUCACUGGAACAGAAUAGAGAGCCCAGAAAGAAACCCAUGCACUUAUGGUCAAUGAAUCUAUGACAAAGGAGGCAAGAAUAUGCAAUGGAGAAAAGUCUGGGCUUCCUUAGGGAUGGUUUCAUCAAUUAAUUUGUUUUCUUAAAUGGACCAUACUUUUCCAUGUCUUUGUAUACCUUGUGAGUUUUUUGGUUGAACAUUGGGCUUUCAAAUAUUAUAAUGUGGUGUCUAUGGAAAUCAGAUUCUCCCACUUUCCCAGGGUUUUCUGGGCUUUUGAUUGUUGAAGGCUGUAGUAGUCUGUUUGUUUAGGGACCUUUCCAAACUAGUUUUGCAAUGACUGUACUCCUUAUCGUAUGGAGGCACUGAAGUCUCUGUUCCUUUAGUUCAUGUUUAGCUAAUGUUUUGACAGAGAUGUCCUUGAAUUCCUGCACCUAAGACAAACAAAAACAAAUAUACACAAGCACAUCCACAUGCACACUCAAAACCACACACCUCUCCCCAUUGUGCAGAUUGCUGGAUCACUCCUUCAACAUUUAGCUGACCUGCAGUGAGUUCAGGGCUCAGCCCAUGGUAAAAGCUUAGAGACUCCUCUGGUGUUUUCAGAACAUGCAUCUUAUCUUGAGUAUGCAUGUGGUUUUCUUAAUUUCUCUGGACACGUGUACUUUUUGUAUGUUCUAAGUUCCCAAAGAAUCUCCCCCAACUUUUGCUCCUGCAUCUUAUGUGGUCUAUUGUAUUUCAAUGCACAGUCUUCUGCCCCAGCCAUCUGUGCUUUGUUAGUUCACCUUGCACUUUUUUUGAGCAAUGACCGCUGCUUUUCCAGAUUGUGUUCCAGGUUAGCUAAGGCAGAGAUAAGCAUCUUCUGUCAGUCCUUCAGGUAGCUCCCAGACAGGUUAGAACAGAUACACAUAAUAAUCCGAGAGUAUAGUUUCUUCUCCUCCCUCCUGAAGCAGGAUUGAGGGUCCCAUACUAGGAAUGGUCUGCUGCUACUUUAAGACUAUCACUGCAUUAAGACCCCACCACUUUGAGACCAUCACUACACUAACAGUAGAUGGGGCAAGGGCAAGUAAAAAUGCCACAAAGCUUUCCUGCCAUUUUCAAAUUGCCUCUUCCCUGGUUCAGUAUGUGUUUGGUUGCUGUAAAUCUUUGCCUGAUUUCAGGACUAAGAGAAACUCAAGGAACGCCACAACAAGAAACAGUAUACUCAAACUCUCAGAUGCCAAAAGACAGAGAAAGAAUCUUUUCUCCCAAAGGAGAAAGAAAAAACAAAUUUGUUACAAAGCAGGGAUCCUCAAAAAGAUUCAUAGCUAAUUUCCUAUCUGAAACCACGGAAGCAAGAGGCCAGACAUAUUUAAAGUGCUGAAAGAAAAAAAUUGUCCACCAAGAAUUCUAUAUUUGGCCAAACUGGCUUCAAAACUUAGGGAGAAAUUAACACAUUCCCAGAUGAACAAAGGCUGAGGGCGUUUGUUUUACAACUUCCUAACACUGCCCUAUGACAAAUGCUAAAUUGAACCUUCAGGUUGAAAUGAAAGGACACUAGACAGCAACUCAAAGCUGUAUAAAGAAAUAGAAAUCUCCAGUAAAGAUAAAUACAUGGGCAGAUACUAAAGCCAGUAUUGUGCUACUGGCUUGUAACUCUACUUUUUAUUUCUUACAUGACUGAAAAAACAAAUGCAUAAAAUAAUCAUAAAUCCAUGUUAUUGGGCUCACAAAGUAUAAAGGUGUAAUUUGUGACAACAAUAAUGUAAGGAGGAGGAAUGGAACUGUAGAGGAACAGAGUUUCUGUGUGCUAUUGAAGUUGGUUUCAAUUCAAAUGAUAUUGGUUGAACUUUAGAAGGGUAAAUGUAAUCUUCUUGAUAACCACAAAGAAAAUAUCAAUAGACUAUAUGCAAAAAGAAAUGAAAAAGGAAUCAAGAGUUCACUACAACAAGAUCGGCUAAGCACAGAAGAAGUCAGUAAUGGAGUAAAUGAGGGGAAAAAAUGCAUAAGACGUACAGAAAACAACCAGGAAACAGACAGAAUUAAGUUCUUCCUCAUCAGUAAUUUUUGAAAAAGUAAGUGGAUUAAGCUCUCCAAUAAAAAGAUAAAUAUUGGCAGAAUGGACUUUAAAAACAUCCAUAAUCCAAGUAUAUGCUGUCCGCAAAAAACUCACUUGAUUCCAAGAGACACAAGUUGGUUGAAAGUUAAAGCACAGAAUAAAAUAUCCCAUGCAAAUAGUAACAAAAAGAAAGAAAGAGAGAGAGAGAAAAAGAAAGGAAGGAAGGAAGGAAGGAAGGAAGGAAGGAAGAUAGAUCUGGGAUGGCUACGUUAAUAUCACACAAAAUAAACUUUAAAUCAAAACCUAUCACAAGAGGAAAAGGAGGCCACUAUAUGUUGAUAACAAGUUCAAUCUAUCAAGAAGCUAUAACAACUAUAAACAUAUAUGUACCAAACAUCCCCCAAAUAUGUGAAGCAGACAUUGACAGAAUUGAAGGAAGAAAUAGAUAGUUCUAAAAUAAUAGCUGGAGAUCAAUACCUUGCUUUCAAUAAUGGAUAACACAUCUAGACAGAAGAUCAGUAGAGAGGCAGGGGGACUGAAUAACACAUUUAACCACUCAACAACAGCAGAAUACACAUUUUUCUCAAGUACACAUGGAACAUUCUCCAGGAAAGACCAUAUGUUACACCACAAUACAAGUACCAAUACAUUUUUAAGAAACUGAAAUCAUACAAAGUAUCUUCUUUAGCCACAGUGAAAUGAAGGUAGAAAUCAAUAACAGAACCAUUGGUAGCCAUUUCCCAUCAUGCCUGCCACACAUGAUAUAAAGCAAUGCAGGGAAAAACAUAAUUGACCAUUUAGAAAAGUGGGAAAGAGGACAUACCAUUGACACAGAGUGUGUGCUGUUUCCCGUUGUCAGGGAUAGAAAUAAAUUAGCAUCAUUUAUUCAUUAGUGUGUUAAUUUCUUGGUCAAUCAUUGGGCAGCCAGUGUUUCUGCCUGAUGGGAAGAUUUCCUAUACUCAGUGUUGAGUGGAGCCAACCUUGAAAGGGACAUUUAAAAGGAUUAUACUGUGAUGGGCUUAGCAGUACCCUUCCUCCUAUGCCAGUAUUUAGGCUGGGGUAGUUCCAUGCAGUGUGUACAAUCGUAGGCCCCAGGUCACCAGAAUUUAGUUGGAUUCGUUUUGUUAAUACAUUCCCUCAGUACUUUGUCUUUUAUUUGACUGUUGCAUUUACUUCAUUCUUUAUUAUCACUGCGAAACAACUUUGUUUCCUGUUCAGAUGCCAAAAAGUGGAUAUCAAUACCUCCUGAGUUUUACACAUCACAGAUCUGUUUUACAUAUCAGAGACAGAGACAGCAACUAUUUCCUAUGACUUUGAGACAUGCUUUGAACAUGUGAUUAACAUGUUGAGUGUUGAAAUGUGUGUCGAGCUCAUUAUACUUGCUCUAAAAGGUUUCAAACUGCAAAGAUUUAAACAUCUUUAUCUUUGAAUAGUUUUCCUGUGCUGUCCCUUUGUGUCAGACUGUUAAUGUGCAGUCUGGCACCUUCAAAUAAUGUGGCUUUGUAACCAAUUAUUUACAUGUUGUUUUAUCCACAGAGAAUCUUUUUUUAAAUAAAUUUAUUUAUUAUUUAUUUUUGGCUGUGU